This 253-nucleotide ribosomal RNA is filed under the name uncultured bacterium. Its description in RNAcentral is "partial 16S ribosomal RNA". It matches the Rfam family "Bacterial small subunit ribosomal RNA", at positions 524 to 776 of the family's 1533-position model. The record is from RNAcentral.
UACGUAGGGUCCGAGCGUUAAUCGGAAUUACUGGGCGUAAAGCGUGCGCAGGCGGUUCGCAAAGACAGGUGUGAAAUCCCCGGGCUUAACCUGGGAACUGCGCUUGUAACUAGCGGGCUAGAGUACGGCAGAGGGGGGUGGAAUUCCACGUGUAGCAGUGAAAUGCGUAGAGAUGUGGAGGAACACCGAUGGCGAAGGCAGCCCCCUGGGCUAGUACUGACGCUGAGAAGCGAAAGCAUGGGGAGCAAACAGG